Molecule: ribosomal RNA, 497 nt
Filed under: uncultured bacterium
Lineage: Bacteria
Description: partial 16S ribosomal RNA
Rfam family: Bacterial small subunit ribosomal RNA
Source: RNAcentral
GAUGAACGCUGGCGGCGUGCCUAAUACAUGCAAGUCGAGCGAACAGACGAGGAGCUUGCUCCUCUGACGUUAGCGGCGGUCGGGUGAGUAACACGUGGAUAACCUACCUAUAAGACUGGGAUAACUUCGGGAAACCGGAGCUAAUACCGGAUAAUAUAUUGAACCGCAUGGUUCAAUAGUGAAAGACGGUUUUGCUGUCACUUAUCGAUGGAUCCGCGCCGCAUUAACUAGUUGGUAAGGUAACGGCUUACCAAGGCGACGAUGCGUAGCCGACCUGAGAGGGUGAUCGGCCACACUGGAACUGAGACACGGUCCAGACUCCUACGGGAGGCAGCAGUAGGGAAUCUUCCGCAAUGGGCGAAAGCCUGACGGAGCAACGCCGCGUGAGUGAUGAAGGUCUUCGGAUCGUAAAACUCUGUUAUUAGGGAAGAACAAAUGUGUAAGUAACUAUGCACGUCUUGACGGUACCUAAUCAGAAAGCCACGGCUAACUACGUG